Molecule: long non-coding RNA, 14441 nt
Filed under: Olea europaea subsp. europaea
Lineage: Eukaryota; Viridiplantae; Streptophyta; Magnoliopsida; Lamiales; Oleaceae
Source: RNAcentral
AGGAAGAAUGUAAUAUUAAUUGUUAUAUUGAACAUAGAAUGGAGUCUUUAUACUCCUGAAUUGCUGAAAUGGGAAGAAUGCAAUAGUAUUUGUUAUAUUGAACGUAGAAUGGAGUCUUUAUACUCCUGAACAGGGGCUGCCUUGACCUGAAGCUAAUGCUUUAACCAACUAUACUGCUUACCCAUAUGUCACAAUUGUAACAUUAUCAGGCUUAGGGAGCUCAAGGGUGACAUGAAAUUUUAUCUAAUAACAACUAAAAUAAGAGGCUCUCGAUAAGUAAUGAUAUUAUAAUGCUGCAGCUAAGCUUUCCACUCUCUAGAACUAUAAACAGGUUUUACCUUAUGUAAAUAGACCAAAUUAACAAUAACAAUGGAAUUAACUAACUAGACACACAUAAGCUUAUAGCAUAUCAAGAACUUUAAUAAUGAGUCUUAUUAAAUCAUCCAAUCAGAAAACUCAGAAACUUACUUUUAAUGGAACAGAGAGGUUCGCAAUCUGCGUGAUUGCUUCAGCAAUUCCAUGAGCAUACCAAGGGUAAAAAGAAGAACUUAGAAUGUUAAUCCACCUAGAAUGCUAGAAAAGAAAAAUCAAAAUGUAGAUUAAGGUGAUAUUCUCUUCUCUUGACUCGUAUGCAGAAAGAAUAUGGUCAUUAACAUGUGACAGACUAAACAAACAUGUUUACCUUAAGUUUAAAAGGGGUGGAGAAACACCAAAAGAAGAAAAAGAAAAGAAACUACUCAUUAUUACUUUGAUGAGGCAAAUGAAACAUCAUAUAUAGAGGUAGAUUAUGUUAGCUUACGAGCAAGUCAAGUUUAUUUAACUAAGUUCUCAUUUCAGACACUUUUGCCUAGCCUUUAUGAUAGAUUAUAGUAAAUCUAGCCGGUUCAAACAAUUUAUUUAAGUAAUUGGCUUAACAUUUUCAUGGUAAGUUGAUUGGGCGUCCAUGAAAGCAACUCGAUCUCAUAGCUUGUUUUUGGAAGAAAUUUAUCUAAUUCAGUUCCACAAAGCCAUUCAGCAGAUUAUACAAUCACAGCAUUGGAUGGGUCCUGACAUUCAAUAAAUUAUCGAUGGCUUUGCAUUAUACUAAGUAGGCAAUCUGACGAUGAUAUACCUGAAUAAUUAACUUUUAAAUAACCUUACAUAGUGUCCACACAUAUAGAUAUUUUGUAAAGCUCAAUAGCUGCAUAUCAUUUUCAAUCUUGUUUGUUAAUAUAUAUCCUAAAAAAGUAACUAGGCUGACUUUAUUAUAGGCAUUAAAACCUCAAUUUUUUUUAAUCAGCUCAAUGAAUUUUUCGGAAUGUUCUUUUCUCUGCCUUCCCCUCGCUACUAUUUUUAAAUGUUGUCCUUCUCCGCCUAAUUUGACAAGUGUUCAAGACUCCUAUCUUUACUAUUUUUAUACACGUAGACUAUAGAAUGCAGAAGGGCUGGUUGCUGUAGAAUUAAUUCUUUAUACACACAAAUUAACAAAGGCAGUGUUUCACGCGGGUUCGUCGCUAACAAUUAAAAAGGGAUCAGACGAUUGUGUAAGAAACAAACCUCUUGAGACGAAAUCCCAAAAAGGGGCGUUUUUAUUGGCGAUGACUUUACAAUCGGAAAGUAAAAACAGAAUGCCUCUAAGGGGCGCAAGCACACGAGUUACUGAAAGAAGUGUUUAAAUCUAAAUUAAGAAAUUUAAAGUUACAUAUUCUCUGUUCGAGAGUCUUUUGAUUCGGUCCUUUUACUCUAUGUCUUUUCUUCCUUUUAUACUCACUGGAUAAUCUCUUUGUGAUCAACCGCCUAAAAACUGCUUGAUCAUUCCAUAACUACCCACUUUCCUCGUAAUGGCCAACUUGUCAUGGAACUGCCUUUUUUAACUGCUGCCAUUACUCUUUGUCGUUCAACCGUCUUCAAUUGAAUUCCUUGAAUCGAGGAACGUGAUAGGGCUACUUAAUAACUGCUUUGAUAACUGCGUUUCUUGAUAAUCAUAACACUUCAUGUUUGCUAAGACUUUGGGCUACUUGGAGUUUUGGGCGAGAAUAAAGCAGCAGCUCUGGGCGAUUGUAUAGCACUCCAUUCGCUCAGAUCCUAAGCGACUUGCAAGUUUGGGCGAUGGUGUUAUUGUGUUCUUGGGCCUCCCUAUUUGGGCCUUCAUCCUGAAUUGUCUGAUUGGGCUUCGUUCUUUGGGCUAUUGGGCUAUCUGAUUUGGGGAUCCUCCAAUUGGGCUUCAUUCCUUGGGCCGUUCGAUUUGAGUUGAAUUUUUAUGUGUCAACAAUUACCCCCCAAUAUGGCAGAAUUAAUACUAAUUAUUAAAUUUUGCCUUAUUCACUUUGUGUUUCCAGCAACAUUCAAAAUUCUCAAGAAUUUCAAUCAUUGUUUUCUUCCAUAACUUGAAAAGAUGCGACGUUUUGCAAACCCUUAUAACCCCCAAAUACGUCAUUUCACUGCACCAUUAAAUCACGCCUCACUUUUUUGCCCUUCUCUCUCACAAUUUUACUGUUCAUCUCUUUGCUUCCCUGCUACGUAACUCUAAAAAACUCCAUUUCGUCCCCAAUGGCUACUUUACAAUCUCAAUCUGGCGUCUCCUUUAGUUUUGAAGAUUUUCAGAAACUCCUUAAUCGCGGAUACAUAACUCCGAACUUUCUCGCACCUGCCAAUGUCGAACUCAAUGAGUUCUACCUAGGUCCCUUCUUCAACAAUGCAGAGGCAGUCGAACAAGCGGCGGUGGGCCAGCUAUUUCCUUGUACUCAAGGCCCCCCAUUUCUAAACUCUCUGCCGCUGGGGCCACUUCGCGAAAGAGGUUUUCACACUUGGCCUAAAUCUGAUGUAGUUUUCCGUAGGUGGCAUGCUCGCCUUGCAGACCAUGGUCCUACUAAGGUAUUUUUUGAUAAUGCUAGGAUUUCUGAUUUAUUAGAAAUCUCUCUUCAAUCCCCUACUUUUGAUUCAACACUUUUUUCGAUCGCUUUAAGUUUUUGGUCUUCUGAAUAUAAUAUCUUUGUUUUCCCUCUUGGCCCCAUGUCUAUUGCUUUAAGGGAUGUUGGGGCCCUAGUGAAUCUGCUACCUUUGGGCGAUACCAUUUUUCCUGGUAUCUUGGUUUCUGGUGGUGCCCCAAAGUUUGGUAAAAAUCUCACCGAGUCUUACUCAAGCCUGCAAACCCUUCAUAACCACUCGAGCGCUGAGCCUUCCCAUACUGAGCGAGUGGCCUUUCUUCUGGUUUGGCUUUGUAAAUAUGUUUUGUGUGUACCAAGCAUAAAGCCCUCCCUGAGCUAUUUACCCAUAGCGCACGAAUUGGCGCGUUGUAGGCCUCUAAAUUUAUGUUCUUUCUUUUUGGCUGCCCUCUAUAGAGGCAUGGCUUCUCUUCAAUCUCAAUUGAAGAAUGGUGCAUCUCCCACUGGCAGUGGAUAUCUUUGGUUCACUCAAAUGUGGUUGAGAUCCUAUUUUCCAUCGCUUGGUGCUCCAUCAUUUUCUCGUCCUUCUGCUAGCUACUAUGGGCUAGCCAUUGAGCCCCUGGCUCCUGUAAAUAUGUCUGGAAGGGACAUUUUUUCAUUCUUUUAUUCUUUGGAUUCAAUCCCUUCCUUCUUUCCUUUUCCUCCCUUUUUAACUCUAGACUAUGUGCAUCCUCCCUCCACUAUAGACAGCGUGAGCACCUCUCUGCUCAUUUGGAUCCAAUUUUUAACCGGGAGGGAGUUAUUUCAUGAUAUUUUGAAUGGGACCAAUGCCAAGGCUGGGGUAGAAAUAUAUGCUCCCCAAUUUUUUGCUCGCCAACUUGGUUUCGGCCAAACUUGGCCUGUUCCUCCUUGCUAUUCAAGGAAAUUGGUAGACCGCUUCCAUAUUAUUAAUAAGGCGGAGGCAGAGGUUAUAAAUGCUCGCAAUCUUCUUUUGACGAGCCAUUUUUCAUUAGCCCCCUUCAAUUCUAGCCGUGGCAUCUAUCCUCUUUUUGAACAACUCUGACCGUCAGUGAAGCGCAGAUUGUUUGCGACUGAUGCCAAUCGUGCCUUUCAUUCACUGGAUCGGUUGAGCAUUUCUUCUCCUCAUCUUAUUUUAGUCGCCCCUUUGUCCAUCCGGAGUCUUUCUCCUCCUUGUCACGCUAAACAUUCUACUCGUCCAUCUUCUUCUCUCCCUGCCAAGCCUACUACAGCCAAAAGUGCUCCGAGCCGCAAACGGCCAGCCUCAGCAUCUCCCAUUCUGGAAGAUGAUGUUGAUGAUGAUGAUGAUACCCCUCUUAUCAUCAGGAGGAAGGUAAUUAAAUUGGCUUACUCAUAAGCAUACUUUUUUAUGCUUGAAACUUUUCUGUGUGCUGAUGGUUUAUUUGGACUUGUCAGAAAAAUUCAGCCUCUCCUUUGAAGGCUUUGGUUUCGACAGCUCCUGCUCCAUCAUCCUUCCCUGAGGCUGCUUCAUCCAAACCAGCUGAUGAAGGGACUACGCUUAAAGAAACAUCUUCAGUCCCAGAAUCCUCAUCACAACCAAUGGAUGAGCCAUCUUCUUCCCAGGGCGUCGACCCCCCAAACAUCGAAGCAGAAGUUAAUUCUGUUUUUUGAUGCUUUACCUUUGCUUAUGCUAUUGGUUUCUGACUUGUUGCUUUGAGUUCUGCAGAUGCUCCUAUGAGUUUGCCACUUGUGGCAACAUCUUUUUGCUUAGACAAGGGGAAGUCCUCACGAAUGGUGGAGCCACAGGUGGCAGAUUUAGCUGGGGAUAUGCCGUCUUCCAAGAUUAUUGAUGAGGUAAUCUUUGCUUCACUUUUACUUCCAUCUUGUUCGUUGUAGCGAGAAUCUUCAAUAUUGACAAUUUUUCUUUGCAGGAUAUUGAUAAGAUUGUGCGUUCCAUCCAAGACUUGUUCGCUUCCUGGGGGCAAGUCAAGACAUCUCGCCCUGCUCCAGCUGCUCAUCCUGCUACUUCUUCAGAGGAAGUUAUGAAGUUCUUCAAGCAGUCCAUAUUCGAGUACGUGUCCGUCAUGGAUAUGGACAUUGGUAAGGCUAGUGCUGCUAGACAUAGGGAUAAACUUGAGCAUUUUAAUGCGAAGUUGGAGCAAGCACUGACACUUCCGUCGCUCAAUCUUUCUGCUGAUUCUAAAGUGACGUUGAAGGUUAUCCACUCUGAGGUCCUCUCCUUGCUGGCCAAGAAUGUUGAACUGAAGGCCAAAAGUACUCAAUAUCUUCGCGCCGUAUCUGAAAAAGAGUAUUUGCUUCUGGAGAUCGACAAAGCUGAGGACGAGUUGAAAGAAAUCUCUUCCGAAGUCAUGAUUGAAGACUCUUUGAUGGCUAGUUUGGCUACUCAGAUGAAGGAACUUCAAGCCAAAAUGGACGACUGCAAGGCGAGAAUGGCUGCUAAAAAGUGUAACGCCUCCCAAGGAAUUGAGCGAACUAAGUCUUUGGUCGAGCAGUACAAGAAGUUGGAAGUUGAUGACGAUGUUGUGGCUGAAUUGAACAUCACUUCCUCUCGGCAGAACGAGGACUGGGGAAAACUUAGGGAAAUAAUUCGUUCGGUAUGGGGCGAAUUGUAAUUAAGACAUAUAAUGCCUUAACUUUUUCUUUUUUCUAAUUUCGCAUUUGACUUUCCCUUUGUAACCUUGUACAUCAUUAAUGAACAUCUACGUUAACUUCUUGUGCAUUUAUUUGACGUUUGUCUUUUAAACGCCAAUCCUUCAAGCAUUUAACUGCUUUAUGCUAAAAUCUUGCACAUUUUCUCUUGAUAUUUCCACCUCUCUUCCCAAGACUUUGGGAUACUUAAUUCUAUUUACUAGGCAGAAUGUGGCUGCUCAUAUUCUGUCUCUUCAUCUCCAAUCCCCUAUAAAUGCACGUAUGCUUCGCACUUUCCAUCUUCCAUCUUCAUUUUCAUUCUCUUCUUCGAAACCAAUUUGCUGUCAUUGUUUGGCAUUCUGACAAUCAAUCCAAAACCUUCGUCUUCUAUAAAAAUGGAUUGUUUGGUCCGCCCAUUUUACUACUUGUCUUGAUGUCACCUUUGGUAUGGGAGAUAUAGGAAAUAUUUUUUGGCCAGCAGCAAAGUUUUUUCCAUCGAAGUUCUUCCCAUCGUCUCUUUGUUCUUUACAAGGGGUUCAAUGAUGGAAGGCAAUUUUUGGGAUGCUUGCGGGCCACCUUGCUUGCUGAGAGUUCUUCUUAGCCUCUUUGCCCGCCAUUGUAGCGAUGCAUUUAGGAAGGCGGUGCAAGGUCAGUCCACCCUCUUACUCGGUGAUCGACCGAGAGAUUAGCUUGCUUUUAAUUGUAGCUUGUAGAGCAUCUAUUAUUUGUAUCUUGUAACUUUGUAGUGAAUGUUUGAUAAUAAAGAAAUUUAUUUGAACGUAUUUCUCUCUAACCUUUUUAUCCGUAAUCGUUCAACAUGUUUUGAUUAUGCUUUUAUCUGUUCACUUUCCCAUAAAGAAGGAACAUAUUUUUUCAAAUAUUUUCCAUUGAUGAAUCUCAAGUGCUUGGUGUCAUCUAAAUCUUCCAAAUGAUAUGCUCCAUUAGGCAACACACUGUUUACUUUGUAUGGUCCUUCCCAAUUAGGCGACCACUUCCCGUAUUUUGGAUCCUUACUAUCCAAAGGGAGUAUCGUCUUCCAAACUAAUUUGCCCAGGUUGAACGACUUGACUAUGACUUUUUUAUUAUAAAACUUAACCAUUCUUUGUUUUUGAACUUGCAAUCUAUCUAGGACGUCCAACUUUAAUUCGUCCAACUCCAAUAAAUUUUGAACUAGUGAUUCAGCAUACUCAUCAUCAUUUAACUUAUGUUGUAAUCACACUCUAAUCGAUUGCACGUUGAUUUCCAUAGGCAAAAUGGCCUCCUGUCCAUAAGUAAGUUGGAAAGGAGUAAUUUUGGUACUUGAUCGAGGUGAUGUUCUAUAAGCCCAUAAGGCCUUAUCCAGACAUUCGUGCCAAUUUCUGGCAUUUUCAUCUAUCAUCUUUCUGAUGAUAUUUUUUAGAAUCUUAUUAGAAGAUUCUGCUUGUCCAUUGGAUUGAGCGUAAUAUGGUGUGGAGUUUACUAAUUUAACCCCAAACUCGCUCAAAAAUUUGUUCACUUGAUCCCCAUUCAAAGAUGUUCCAUGAUCUACCAUCAACGUUUGUGGAAUUCCAAAUCUAUAAAUGAUGUGAUCACGGAUAAACUCUAUGACAUUCUUUUGGGUGAUCUCUUUCAAAGGUAUCGCCUCUACCCAUUUGGUGAAAUAGUCGGUUGCAACUAUAACAAAAGUAUAUUGCUUGGACGAUGGGGGAUAAAUCUUCCCUAUUAAGUCUAUCGCCCAACAUUUGAACGGCCAAGGUUUAAUAAUAGGUGCCAUCUCUCGUGCUGGCGCUCUUUGUAUUGGACCAUGCUUUUGGAAUGCUAAACAACUCUUUGCAUACUGAACGCAUAAUUCUCCCAUCUUUGGCCAAAAAUAUCCACUCCUAAUAAUUAACCAUCUCAUCCUUUGGCCAGCUUGAUGAGCUCCACAUAUCCCUUCGUGCACCUCAGCCAUGAUCGUCCUGGCUUCUUGCAAACUUACACACUUUAGCAAUGCACCAUCAGAACGUUUCUUAAACAACUCUUCAUCUAUUAGUGUAUAGUUCAGUAAACACAGCUUCAUUUUCCUACUAAUCCUUCUAUUAGGUUUUUUAAAGAACCCUUUAAUCUCCGUACUCCAAUCCAUUGCAUCUCCAGCUUGUAUGCAAUGAAGUUCGAUCCUUCUCGCCCUUCUUUGGGUCACAGGCAAUAUGUUUCCAUACUCACAAGUAGACUUCCAAUUCAAAACCUUUGAGUACCCUGAGGCCAUUUGGGCUAACUCAUUUGCCAGGUCGUUAUAUAUCCUAUUAACGCAUUGAAGUUCUACUUGGUCGAAUUCUUCUAACAAUUCUUGGGCGAUCUCAUAUUGACUUAUAAUAGAAUCGCUUUGGCAUUUAAAAUCACCAAUCAAUUGGUGAAUUACCAAUUGAGAAUCGCCCCUAACGAUCACAUUUUUUACUCUCAUAUCUAUCAUCAGUUCUAGGCCUACAAUUAAGGCUUCAUAUUCGGCCUGAUUGUUGGUGCACAUCCUGUCUAAAGUGAACGCAAACUUGUAGCAAAUCCCUAAAGGAUUAAUCAAUACUGCUCCUACUCUUGCACCUUUAGAGGUUUUUGACCCAUCGAAAUACAACAUCCAAGGUUUUAGCUCGAAAGAAUUGAUCUCUAAUUCAAUUUCUUCAGGCAUGCCAAGGCAUGGAUGAUCGGCUAGAAAGUUAGCCAAAGCCUGAUUUUUGACUGCCUUUUGAGGUAUAUAUUGUAUCUCGAAUUCUGAUAAAGCUAAUGUCCAAAGGCCUAUCCUUUGGUGUAAAAUAGGGUGAGAUAACGUAUACUUAACUAAAUUUACUUUAGAAAUUAAGUAAACGGUUAUGGGCCGUAAAUAAGCCCUUAAUUUUGUACAUGUAAAAUACAACGCAAGACAUAAUUUUUCGAUAGCAGAGUAAUUAUAUUCACAUUUUGUUAACCGCCUACUUAAGUAGUAAAUUGCCCUCUCUUCACCAAAUUGGUCUUCCUGCGGGACCAUUACAGCUAUUGAUUCUUUUUCAGCCGAUACGUACACUUUCAUUGACUGUCCUUGGACUGGUGACACCAACACUGGUGGGCUUGAUAAAUAUAUCUUCAGGCUUUCAAAAGCCUUUUGAUGUUCUUCUUUUCAGACGAAUUCGUCCUGAUUUUUCAGCUUUAAAAGCGGCGAAAAGACUUUAGUUCGCCCUGCACAGUUAGAAAUAAAGCGUCUUAAAAAGUUUACUUAGCCUAGAAACCUUUGCAAUUCUUUUUUGUUGCUAGGCGGUUUGGCCUCUAAAAUGGCCUUCGCUUUAUUUUUAUCAAGUUCAAUCCGUCUUUUGUGUACCAAGAAACCAAGAAAGUUCCCUGCAUUAACACCAAAUGCGCAUUUAAAGGGAUUCAACUUUAGCUUAUAUUGCUUCAUUCGGUCAAACGAACAUCUUAACUAUUCGAAAUGGUUCUCUUCUUUAAUGGAUUUGACCACUAUAUCAUCUACAUAUAUUUCAACAAACUUGCCUAUCAUAUCAUGAAAGAUUAAAUUUAUUGCCCUUUGAUAAGUUGCUCCUGUAUUUUUUAGGCCGAAAGGCAUGACCACCCAUUCAAAACAUCCUAGAGACCCAGGGUAUCUAAAGGCAGUUUUGUGUAUGUCUUCUUCAGCUAUAUAAAUUUGAUUGUAUCCUGAAUACCCAUCCAUGAAAGAAUACAUGACGUGUCCGGCAGUUGAGUCUACUAAAGAAUCUACUGUGGGCAUUGGAUACUCAUCUUUGGGUGUAGCUAUGUUUAAAUUCCUAAAAUCUAUGCACGCCCUUAGUUUACCAUUCUUUUUUAGUACUAGCACGAUAUUGGACAACCAUUCGACAUACCUGGCUGUUCUAAUAAAGCCUGCUUUCAAUAAUCGCUCGAUCUCUUUCUUAAUCUCGGGGAGUACAUUAGGAGCAAAACGUCUAGGAGACUGCCUAUAGGGUUUAAAAUUAGGCUUAGUUGGUAACCUAUGUUUCACCAAGUCUCUAUCUAAACCAGGCAUUUGUUCAUAUUCUCAAGCAAAACAAUUUUAUACUCUUUUAACAAAGCGAUUAAUUUAUCACUAACCUCUUGAUUGAGCAUAUGGCUGAUGAAUGUUGGACGAUCUUCUCCUUCAUUGCCAAUAUUUACUUUGAUCAGAGGGUCUUGUCCUUGAACAUAUCCAGGUUUGAUUAUCCGCAUCACUUCGUCGUCCAGUCCCCUUGUAAGUACUUCUUCUUCUAAACAGUCCACCUUGUUGACUUCUCGGCUAAUGCUUUGUUCUAACUCGAAUACUGCCCAUUUUCUUUUAGCGUUCUUAGGGCUACCUCUUCUUUCGUUUUGUCCUUGCAUUCUUUAUUGAAAGCCAUUAAUCUGACUUAGAAGGCUUGAACAUCGGCCAUCUACUUUUGUGGCUUAGAAUCCAUUCAAGACUCCUUGAUUAUUCUUUUGCCAAUUACUGGCUCUUCUAAAACCACUAUUUUUGGUCUCAUUUGGCUGAACAUUUCAGUCAGUGCGUCCACUAAAAAUGGCUCUUCACUCUGCACGACGAUCUGAGUUUCUUCCCCAUAUUGGACUACUCUGACAUGUCCAUAGUUUCCUUCAUACAUGAACCUUUCCACUGAGUUUGCUUCUACGAUAAAAGGCCUAUGAUCAGCCUGCACCACCUCUGCUUUACCCUUGUUGUUCCAAAAGACCAGGCAUUGAUGGAGUGAUGAGGGUAUGCAGCGACUCCCAUGUAUCCAAUCUCUUCCUAGUAAUACAUUGUAACUAGUAGGACCAUCUAUUACAAAGAAGACUAUGGUCCUAGUAGUUGUCCCUAUAGUUAUGUCCAAUGGCAUAACUCCCUUAGCUGAAGUUGCUCCUCCAUUGAAACUCGUAAGAAUGACUUCUGUUGGAAUCAUGUCACCCUCUGUCUUUGCAAAUUUCCUCAUCAUCCUAGAUGGAAUGGUGUUUAUAGCUGCACCAUUGUUGACAAGCACUUUUGCCACAGCGAUGCCGUUAACUAGAGCUUUAACGUACAACAGCCUCAAGUGUUUAGUCAAUUUCAUGGUUGUCCGUUUAAAGAUAACCUUUUCAGCAGCUUCUAUUUCUACUUCCUGCUUAUUUUCUAUCGAAUUAUCACCCUGUGAUAAGUCGACGUGCAGCAUAUCGCGCUGAGCUUUCGUCUCCUGAGUUUCCUCCUUACUGUUUUCUAACGCUUCUUCAUUAGUUACCCAACUUGUGGGAGGUGGCAUUAUUCUUGAAGGUGAUCCAUGCUUUUUAGAGCGAGGCACUCUCUCUUCCUUUUGGGUGUCUCGUACAGUACGUAGAAAUCGAAAGAACGCCCAGAUGGUUCUCCCAACAAGUCUCCUUCGCGCACUCCCUCUCGAUGUAGUUACUUCAACAGAGUAUUGUGCGAUACUCCUCUCCUUCUUCUUUCUGCUUCUAGGUCGAUUUCUUCUUCAAUGUCUGUCAUUCCAUUGUCUUCUUCAUCAUUGUAGGCCUCUCUAGAAGUCUGGCCUUCUUCACAUUCCAGCACGCAAGCCUCUCCUCCGUUAUCCUCCCUUUCUUCUUCUUCCUUUUCUUUAUUCUUGAAUUCAUUGUCCAGUAAGUAAUUAUUAACCACGACAGGAGGUAACGUACCGAACUGGAUAGUAAGGGGCUGAUCUGGAUCUUCUCCAUCCCUUUUGUCUCGCUCAAACUUUGAUCUCCCAGAAGAAGUUUCUGGCAGUUCUUUCAUUGAUUAAUUUGUACCGGUCUCUUCACUAUCUUUGAGAACAUUUUGAUUGGCUACCUUAAGUAGUUUAGGCGCAAUAGGAUGUGGCACUUCCUAUUGUUGUCUCAUCAUUCGUCCAUAAUUUCGUUGGAAACGCCUUUGCUGGGUUCUAGUCAUCUCAUUGAAGGGUAUCUCUUUCCCUGCACUGUACUGGAAUGAAUGUCAUACAUUCGGUCAGUGAGGUUGCGGCCUGAAUGUUCUCCCACUAUUUACUGAUUUGAACUGCCUCUCAAAAGGCUGUCCUCUAUAGAAUGAUGUACCUCGCCCUCUACCAGGCUGAGUGUUUGGGAAGAAAGUAGGGCGAUGAGGAUGCUACCAUAUCCCUGGUUUUUCCGUGUUCCCACUCACUUCUCUUUUACAUCUUGCACAUAGGACGUCUUCGUCCUUUUUUGGCUCCUUUCCCUUGAUUCGUUCACAGACGCUGGGAUGUGGUCCAAGGUCCUCUUCUCCAUCAUCUAUGACCAACUUAAAUUUUGGCAACUUGUUUUUGAAGCCAGACGUCACCAUGUUCACUCCAAGUGGCUGUGGAAAAGGAUUUUCAUCCACUGCCAUCUUCUUCUUAUCGUCGAACGUAAUUCGUCCUGAUUCAAUGGCAUCCUACAACACAUGGAAAAAAACCAAGCAAUUGUUAGUCAAAUGUGACCAUGCAUUAUGCCACUUACAAUAUUUUUUACCCUUAAUUUGUUCCGGGUUUGUCAAUUUAUGUUUAUCGCUCAGUUUUGGUUACAUCGAACGAGAACGUUCUAACUUUUAUGUUUCCAUUUUUCAUGGGCUCAUCCUUGUUCGAUGGUCUAGGCUUAGCCAUUAUAGGACAAGUAUACGUGUCUUCUUUGACCAAUUUGGCCAAACACAUUUCGGCUUGAUCGUAUGACUCGUCGCUGAUGGUAUGAACGUCAAAAUUUGGGUCUUUGUAAUAAGUCCCUUUACUAGAAUUUUUCAUCUGCUCUUCUUCUCUUAUCAGUCGUUCAUACCUAAUCACAUUCGCACUCAACUAGAAAAGGUCAGGAAAUUCCUUGUCUUGGAAUUUCUUUUUUAAAUCAAAGCUCAAGCAACCCUGAGCGAUUUUGACAAAUUCUUUUUCGGGCAGAGAUACAAAACACUUGCUUCUUGCUACCUUGAACCUUUGGAGAAAACUUUCUGCCCAUUCGUUUGGCAUUUGACGUAGAUUCGCCAAAUCAGCCAAAGUAACUUCAGACUCAGUUUUAUAAAACUGAGCGUGGAAUAAUUGUUCCAAUUGUUGCUAUGUUUGAACAGAGUUCGCUGGCAAGUUGAUGAACCAGGAGAAAGCUACUCCUGUUAAUGAACUAGGGAAAAGCCUCAUUCUAUGGUAAUCAGUUACAUCACCACUUUGCAAUGUAAAUCGCCCUAUAUGUUCUAGAGUAGACACCUCCCCUAAACCGGCAAAUAGUGAGAAUUCUGGCACUUUAUACCCUCUAGGCCAUGGAUAUGCUUGGUCUACUCAAUCAGGAUAUGGCUUUAUAUAAGUCGGUCUAAUAACAGGACGUACCCCAAAAGCCAUCUGAUCCUGUACGAUUUCCAUAAUCUGAUUCCUCAACAUGACGUUGGGUCAUAUAGAAUUCCUACAUGUUGGUUAAUCGAUUGAUUUGCAUGAGACCUGAUGUUUGGCCCUUGAUUGGCAACAAAGUUACCAUGAUUUGGGCCAUUACCAUUAGCCUGAACAUCUAUUCCCUCAUUAACACGUGGGGUAUUCGGUCCAUUGUUUAGGACAUUAUCUUUUACAUUUGGAUUACCCCCAAGUUAGGCGUACCACUACCAUUGUUCUGAUUUGGCAUUGCACCACCCCCUUGGUUUGAAGUAGAGGGACCAAAAAGUGGUUCUACCCCUUGAUUUGGACUUAAGACUGAGGGAUUAUGUCCCACAAUUGUCCUAGUUUGAAAGUGGUUUGCAAGAGGCAGAACCGGUUGACAUAUUUGGCCUACUAACUUAUUCAUUAUUUCGUUCAAAGUGUUUAAUUAUUUGGCCAUGUUGUCAUAAUGUGCAUUCCCAUUUUGGAUAAAUCUUUCCAUAUUAUGAAUAUUUCGAAGAUUUACCUGUUCAACGACAUCUUGCGUGAGUUCUCCAAGUAGUGCAUGCAUAGUUCGAGGACUCAACUCUGUCAUUGGUUCGUAACGACUGUUACUGCUCUGAUUCUGUCCAUCUAUUCGUGGAGAGGCAUGCUGCUCCUCAUAUCGCUCGAUUACAGACUGGACCCCUCCCUGACUUGCUGGUUCCUUGUCGGAUCUCUGAGGUAUAUUGUUUCACCUUUUGUAUUUUCAACACCAAACACCACUGUCCCACCAGGUGUGCCAAAUUGUUUCGCGUGGGUUCGUCGCUAACAAUUAAAAAGGGAUCAGACGGUUGUGUAAGGGACAAACCUCUUGAGACAAAGUCCUAAAAAUGGGUGUUUUUAUUGGCAAUGACUUUACAAUCGGAAAGCAAAAACAGAAUGCCUCCAAGGGGCGCAAGCACACGAGUUACUGAAAGAAGUGUUUAAAUCUAAACUAAGAAAUUUAAAGUUACAUAUUCUCUAUUCGAGAGUUUUUUGAUUCGGUCCUUUUACUCUAUGUCUUUUCUUCCUUUUAUACUCACUGGAUAAUCUCUUUGUGAUCAACCGCCUAAAAACUGCUUGAUCAUUCCAUAACUACCCACUUUCCUCGUAAUGGCCAACUUGUCAUGGAACUGCCUUUUUUAACUGCUGUCAUUACUCUUUGCCGUUCAACUGCCUUCAAUUGAAUUCCUUGAAUCGUGGAACGUGAUAGGGCUGCUUAAUAACUGCUUUGAUAACUGCAUUUCUUGAUAACCAUAACACUUCAUAUUUGCUAAGACCUUGGGCGACUCGGAGUCUUGGGCUAGAAUAGAGCAGCAGCUCUGGGCGAUUGCAUGGCACUCCAUUCGCUCAGAUCCUGGGUGACUUGCAAGCUUGGCGAUUGUGUUACUGCAUUCAUGGGCCUCCCUAUUUGGGCUUUCAUCCUGAAUUGUCUGAUUGGGCUUCGUUCUUUGGGCUAUUGGGCUAUCUGAUUUGGGGAUCCUCCAAUUGGGCUUCAUUCCUUGGGCCGUUCGAUUUGGGCUAAAUUUUUAUGUGUCAACAGGAAGCUUUGAGAAGAAAACAACAUGUCAAAGUUGAAGAAAAAUACACACGCUACCGCCACGGAUUAACAAAGGCUGGUGCUUCUGCUUCUCGUCCGUGACUUCGCACAAGCUUUACCGCCAUGGAGAUUCGUGUUUCUGCUUCAAAU